Molecule: ribosomal RNA, 245 nt
Filed under: uncultured bacterium
Lineage: Bacteria
Description: partial 16S ribosomal RNA
Rfam family: Bacterial small subunit ribosomal RNA
Source: RNAcentral
CUGGCGACCGGCGCACGGGUGAGUAACACGUAUCCAACCUGCCGAUAACUCGGGGAUAGCCUUUCGAAAGAAAGAUUAAUACCCGAUGGCAUAAUUAGACCGCAUGGUCUUAUUAUUAAAGAAUUUCGGUUAUCGAUGGGGAUGCGUUCCAUUAGGCAGUUGGUGAGGUAACGGCUCACCAAACCUUCGAUGGAUAGGGGUUCUGAGAGGAAGGUCCCCCACAUUGGAACUGAGACACGGUCCAA